GUCUGAAAUUUUUUUUUUUGAAAACCUGACCCUAGGGUAUGCCAGAUCCGCCACAAAUACAGGAGAUCCACUGUUCACACGGACAGAGUCUCCCCUGUAUUUGCACGGCGUCGCACAAGUACAAGAGUUCAAACAUGAUACAACCACAACCAGAUGAAUAUACAAAUAACCACAGCUAUAUAUUCAUACACCAUUCACCAUAGAUUCACAUUUUUACAUUCAAUAUUUAAACAUAAAUCCACAUCUAUCAGUUAAAAUAUUUCCAACCACAGAAACAGGUUUUGAAAUACUAAGAAACAAAAUCACAGAAAACCCUUUGAAAACUGUUCUCUACACGGGAACUUUUAUUUUCUUUAAAAACGCUACCACGAGGGGUAGAAAAUUAUUUUUAUUUCAAGAAAACACAAAUCCUUUAUUACAUUCCAAAACCAACUGAAAACUCAGAUAUUCAGAUAAUAACACAAAACUGAACCAUGUAAACCGACUAAGCUAUAAAUCAACAGAAAUAAUAAGGGUAAUAACUAAAUCGAAAUAACCUGGGUCGGAAGCUCUAUCGACCGCUACACAUGUACCUCACGUCUCGUCCCACUAUUCAUCGCCCGCGAUACCUGAAAAAUGGUGGGGGAGGUGAGAACAUGUAAACAUGUCUCCCCUCCCAGUGGGUACCGCAAGCCGAAGAAGGCGAGGAGUACUCACCGGAUCAGGAAGAGCUAUACAACAACAUGGGUCAGUGGAAAUACAGUAUGAACAAUAGUAAACAAAAGAGAUGUAGAAGGUAAUGAGCAGAUAUACUAAAUACAGUAGCAAUAAACUGAAAGAAAGUAAGAACUAGACUGAAUAACGGCUACCGCUACUGUAACUGGAACCGAAAGCAUACAUGAAUAUCUACUAUAGCAGCAAGACAACUAUAAAGUAAGAACUAUAAGUAUGCAUGCAACGACUGCUGCUAUAGACAUAUGCGUCAACUGACGAUAACCUCAAAAGUACCCAAUCUCGCUGCCCUAUUGGUCCGAAGACCUCAGGCCCAUGCCACACUGCUCAACCUGUACCUGACCCUCGCAAUGAAGCCCCUGGGUCAGAAGCAUAGUACCUGACCCUCGCAAUGAAGCCCCUGGGUCAGAAGCAUAUACCCUCGCAAUAAAGCCCCUGGGCUCACGGGUUGGCAAUCCAACCACUUUUCCGGAAAAGAACACCCUCUUGCGGUGGAUCAGACCGCUGGUGUUCGUGAAAUGCGUACCUGCAGUGGCGAUCAAUGUAGUAUGCUCAAAGAUCUUCCAUCGGCAACUAGCCGACAAUCCAGCCCCUCAGGGCACACCGACCGUAUAGGCCAUCAACAACUAGUCGGCUACGUAUGUCAAGAUAGAACUGUAACAACUCGACCGAAUAGGUCAUAGAUAUCAAAAUAGGAGAACCGCCCAACCAAAUCACAGAUAUAGUGAACAGAUAAGUCGACUCUACUCCUAAGCAUAAUAUCGACAUGGAAAUAACUGAGUAGAGGAAUGUAGAUAUAAAUGCAGGUGCAAGGUUCAAUAUAACUGUAAGGUAGAGUAAACAGUAGGGGUGAAGAAGCGUCAC
This 1575-nucleotide long non-coding RNA is filed under the name Ananas comosus (pineapple). RNAcentral describes it as "long non-coding RNA (ACOM_LNC039550)". The record is from RNAcentral. Lineage: Eukaryota; Viridiplantae; Streptophyta; Magnoliopsida; Poales; Bromeliaceae.